UCCACGUGGUGCAGAUUGAUGCGGCAUUUGUCAGCCAUGUCCAGGAAGUGCUGUGCGUUCAUUUCAUCCAGCAGAAUGUAGACCGGGACGCGGCGGGCGGCCGCUUCCAGCACCUCACUGAGCAGGUCCACGUCGGUGAACAUGUCCAUCACUACAGCCACCACCUGGGGAGUGCACUCCGCGUCAGGGGAGCCAGGGCCCCCAGCCACUCCCUUCCCCAACCACACUCCCAGAGAUGGGAGGCCACCACUUCACCCACAAGCACUACAGAACAGAACGGCCAGUAGCCCACUCCACAGGAGAGUGGCUGUGAAUGGGAAGGUGCUUCAUUUGCAGGGGAAAGCAAGGGGAGCCCCUGCAAUUCCACGGACCCUGAGUUGUCUGAGAUGCCUGAACCCCAGGACAGAGAUCAGGGCAGAACAUCAGGCUGAAAGGGGGUUCACUGCUUGGAGCAGGAGCAGAAGGGUUGGAUGGACAAGGCAGGCCUGGAGAAUACCAGUCCCUUAGGAGGAUCCCGACAUUCCAAAGCCCCUGACUUUCAGACCCUGGGCAGCAAGUGUGUGCAGUCUGCACAUACCAACUUCUGGGUGACCAUGGAAGAACUCUGCAGGAAGCCUCUCGCGCAGCUGGGACCCUCUGCUGCUGUCCCCAAGGCCUGGCUGGCAGCCAUGCCCCUCCCCCACUAGCACCAGCCACACUUGUACUGCUCCUUCACCCUCCUACUCAAGCUUUCAGCUCCAGCUCAGGUUGUCCUCCACUACCCGCCAGGCCCAUGACGAUGCACCUGCUGGGCAGAACGGAUCAUCCUUCGAGCUUCAUCCUUGAUGCUGGGGCUGUCCGGUGGUGGUGGCUGUACAAGUGUGGUGACCUCAGUGCCCUGGAAGCCAAAGGUCAGGGGCCAGCCCAGGUCCAGUUCAGGCACAGCCUGAUCUGAGUUUACUGGCCAGUAUGUGCCUGAGGAGCCAUCCAUGUCCACAGGAGGAGGGCUGCCUUCACGAGGCUCCCGAGCCACAUGCUGUGGGGGUUGCAGGUGGCGGCUCACGUGUUCCAGUUCCUCAGGGCACAGGAAGUCAGGUGCCCCCUCGGCUUGCAGGAAGCGGCUAUAGGCUUCUGGCCCCCCCUCAGUCAGUGCAUCUACGGCCAAGCGGUAGUACUCCUUGUAGUGAGGAGGUAGGUACCCUGGUGCCAGUGGGUUGUCCCCCUGAGAAGAGCUCUGGGAACGACGGGCCAUGUUGGGGCCAGGGGCCUAGAAGAGUAAAAGAUACAUGAAGUAGGGCAUGCAGGGACCUCUUCCCUAUCCUCACUCGUGGAGCUGCUGGAGAUCGUGUGUUCAUUCAGCCCACGUCUGGGAAGGAUGCUCCUAGUGGGACAAAGGCCUUAGGUCCUCAGCCCUGACUCCCCUUCUUGGGAAUGGGAUAGGACUAUUUCACCAGACCCUAGAGACUGCCAGUGCCUGCCUCAGCUUCUGGGCAGGGGCUGUAGCUCCUCGCCUCUUCUUCAGGGUUACAGCAUUCAUGGCCCCACGUAAUUUGUGGGCCCCUAAACCUAUAAGAAUAAGUAAGUUAGGGCUGGGUAUAUGGCUCCGUGUUUAAAGGAACUUGCUUUGAAUUGCCUGACCACCUGGGUUUGAUACUCCAGUAGCCACAUAGAGCCAGAUUGACACACAGAG
Long non-coding RNA from Jaculus jaculus (lesser Egyptian jerboa), 1669 nucleotides. RefSeq lists it as uncharacterized. The transcript is spliced from 3 exons. The record is from RefSeq and is a predicted model, not a curated record. NCBI's taxonomy places the organism in Eukaryota, Metazoa, Chordata, Mammalia, Rodentia, Dipodidae.